RNAcentral lists this non-coding RNA (101 nucleotides) under unidentified. RNAcentral describes it as "Gallionellales bacterium TPP sequence". It matches the Rfam family "TPP riboswitch aptamer (THI element)". Rfam says of the family: Vitamin B(1) in its active form thiamin pyrophosphate (TPP) is an essential coenzyme that is synthesised by coupling of pyrimidine and thiazole moieties in bacteria. The previously detected thiamin-regulatory element, thi box was extended, resulting in a new, highly conserved RNA secondary structure, the THI element, which is widely distributed in eubacteria and also occurs in some archaea. The record is from RNAcentral.
GUAUUUCGCUAGGGGUCCUGGAACGGCGGCGUUCCGGGUGAGAAAUACCCUCUGAACCUGAUCUGGAUAAUGCCAGCGCAGGGAAGCACAACAAGUCCUUG